GGAAGUAAAAGUCGUAACAAGGUCUCCGUUGGUGAACCAGCGGAGGGAUCAUUACCGAGUUAUCAACUCCCAAACCCCUGUGAACAUACCUGAACGUUGCCUCGGCGGGACCGCCCCGGCGCCCUAGCGGCCCGGAACCAGGCGCCCGCCGGAGGACCCAAACUCUUGCUUUGAACAGUGGCAUACUCUCUGAGUCUCACAAACAAAAAUAAAUUAAAACUUUCAACAACGGAUCUCUUGGCUCUGGCAUCGAUGAAGAACGCAGCGAAAUGCGAUAAGUAAUGUGAAUUGCAGAAUUCAGUGAAUCAUCGAAUCUUUGAACGCACAUUGCGCCCGCCAGCAUUCUGGCGGGCAUGCCUGUCCGAGCGUCAUUUCAACCCUCAGGGAACCCCUUCGGGGGGGACCUGGUGUUGGGGGCCGGCCGCCCGCGCCGCCCCCGAAAUGCAGUGGCGACCUCGCCGCAGCCUCCCCUGCGUAGUAGCACAACCUCGCACCGGAGCGCGGAGACGGUCACGCCGUAAAACGCCCAACUCUCAAGAGUUGACCUCGGAUCAGGUAGGAAUACCCGCUGAACUUAAGCAUAUCAAUAAGCGGAGGA
Molecule: ribosomal RNA, 598 nt
Filed under: Tolypocladium album
Lineage: Eukaryota; Fungi; Ascomycota; Sordariomycetes; Hypocreales; Ophiocordycipitaceae
Description: eukaryotic LSU rRNA
Rfam family: 5.8S ribosomal RNA (bases 218-371)
Source: RNAcentral